GCUGUGGUUCAGAGCCAGAGUAUUUGCUUUGCAUGCAGAAGGUUCCUGGUUCAAUUCUUGGCAUCUCCG
This 69-nucleotide transfer RNA is filed under the name Sphaerodactylus townsendi. Its description in RNAcentral is "tRNA-Ala". It matches the Rfam family "tRNA". Rfam says of the family: Transfer RNA (tRNA) molecules are approximately 80 nucleotides in length. Their secondary structure includes four short double-helical elements and three loops (D, anti-codon, and T loops). Further hydrogen bonds mediate the characteristic L-shaped molecular structure. tRNAs have two regions of fundamental functional importance: the anti-codon, which is responsible for specific mRNA codon recognition, and the 3' end, to which the tRNAs corresponding amino acid is attached (by aminoacyl-tRNA synthetases). tRNAs cope with the degeneracy of the genetic code in two manners: having more than one tRNA (with a specific anti-codon) for a particular amino acid; and 'wobble' base-pairing, i.e. permitting non-standard base-pairing at the 3rd anti-codon position. Lineage: Eukaryota; Metazoa; Chordata; Lepidosauria; Squamata; Sphaerodactylidae. The record is from RNAcentral.